GGGUUGUGAGGUUAAGCGACUAAGCGUACACGGUGGAUGCCCUGGCAGUCAGAGGCGAUGAAGGACGUGCUAAUCUGCGAUAAGCGUCGGUAAGGUGAUAUGAACCGUUAUAACCGGCGAUUUCCGAAUGGGGAAACCCAGUGUGUUUCGACACACUAUCAUUAACUGAAUCCAUAGGUUAAUGAGGCGAACCGGGGGAACUGAAACAUCUAAGUACCCCGAGGAAAAGAAAUCAACCGAGAUUCCCCCAGUAGCGGCGAGCGAACGGGGAGCAGCCCAGAGCCUGAAUCAGUGUGUGUGUUAGUGGAAGCGUCUGGAAAGGCGCGCGAUACAGGGUGACAGCCCCGUACACAAAAAUGCACAUGCUGUGAGCUCGAUGAGUAGGGCGGGACACGUGGUAUCCUGUCUGAAUAUGGGGGGACCAUCCUCCAAGGCUAAAUACUCCUGACUGACCGAUAGUGAACCAGUACCGUGAGGGAAAGGCGAAAAGAACCCCGGCGAGGGGAGUGAAAAAGAACCUGAAACCGUGUACGUACAAGCAGUGGGAGCACGCUUAGGCGUGUGACUGCGUACCUUUUGUAUAAUGGGUCAGCGACUUAUAUUCUGUAGCAAGGUUAACCGAAUAGGGGAGCCGAAGGGAAACCGAGUCUUAACUGGGCGUUAAGUUGCAGGGUAUAGACCCGAAACCCGGUGAUCUAGCCAUGGGCAGGUUGAAGGUUGGGUAACACUAACUGGAGGACCGAACCGACUAAUGUUGAAAAAUUAGCGGAUGACUUGUGGCUGGGGGUGAAAGGCCAAUCAAACCGGGAGAUAGCUGGUUCUCCCCGAAAGCUAUUUAGGUAGCGCCUCGUGAAUUCAUCUCCGGGGGUAGAGCACUGUUUCGGCAAGGGGGUCAUCCCGACUUACCAACCCGAUGCAAACUGCGAAUACCGGAGAAUGUUAUCACGGGAGACACACGGCGGGUGCUAACGUCCGUCGUGAAGAGGGAAACAACCCAGACCGCCAGCUAAGGUCCCAAAGUCAUGGUUAAGUGGGAAACGAUGUGGGAAGGCCCAGACAGCCAGGAUGUUGGCUUAGAAGCAGCCAUCAUUUAAAGAAAGCGUAAUAGCUCACUGGUCGAGUCGGCCUGCGCGGAAGAUGUAACGGGGCUAAACCAUGCACCGAAGCUGCGGCAGCGACGCUGAUGCGUUGUUGGGUAGGGGAGCGUUCUGUAAGCCUGCGAAGGUGUGCUGUGAGGCAUGCUGGAGGUAUCAGAAGUGCGAAUGCUGACAUAAGUAACGAUAAAGCGGGUGAAAAGCCCGCUCGCCGGAAGACCAAGGGUUCCUGUCCAACGUUAAUCGGGGCAGGGUGAGUCGACCCCUAAGGCGAGGCCGAAAGGCGUAGUCGAUGGGAAACAGGUUAAUAUUCCUGUACUUGGUGUUACUGCGAAGGGGGGACGGAGAAGGCUAUGUUGGCCGGGCGACGGUUGUCCCGGUUUAAGCGUGUAGGCUGGUUUUCCAGGCAAAUCCGGAAAAUCAAGGCUGAGGCGUGAUGACGAGGCACUACGGUGCUGAAGCAACAAAUGCCCUGCUUCCAGGAAAAGCCUCUAAGCAUCAGGUAACAUCAAAUCGUACCCCAAACCGACACAGGUGGUCAGGUAGAGAAUACCAAGGCGCUUGAGAGAACUCGGGUGAAGGAACUAGGCAAAAUGGUGCCGUAACUUCGGGAGAAGGCACGCUGAUAUGUAGGUGAAGUCCCUCGCGGAUGGAGCUGAAAUCAGUCGAAGAUACCAGCUGGCUGCAACUGUUUAUUAAAAACACAGCACUGUGCAAACACGAAAGUGGACGUAUACGGUGUGACGCCUGCCCGGUGC
RNAcentral lists this ribosomal RNA (1852 nucleotides) under Escherichia coli. RNAcentral describes it as "partial 23S ribosomal RNA". It matches the Rfam family "Bacterial large subunit ribosomal RNA", at positions 1 to 1869 of the family's 2925-position model. Lineage: Bacteria; Pseudomonadati; Pseudomonadota; Gammaproteobacteria; Enterobacterales; Enterobacteriaceae. The record is from RNAcentral.